UACGAAGGGGGCUAGCGUUGCUCGGAUUCACUGGGCGUAAAGGGUGCGUAGGCGGUCGGGUAAGUCUGAUGUGAAAUCUCACAGCUUAACUGUGAAACUGCAUUGGAUACUAUCCGGCUCGAGGAAUGGAGGGGAGACUGGAGUACUUGGUGUAGCAGUGAAAUGCGUAGAUAUCAAGUGGAACACCAGUGGCGAAGGCGAGUCUCUGGACAUUUCCUGACGCUGAGGCACGAAAGCCAGGGGAGCAAACGGG
This 253-nucleotide ribosomal RNA is filed under the name uncultured bacterium. Its description in RNAcentral is "partial 16S ribosomal RNA". It matches the Rfam family "Bacterial small subunit ribosomal RNA", at positions 524 to 776 of the family's 1533-position model. The record is from RNAcentral.